GGAUCCAAUUAGCUUGAGGAAAACGUUCACUCUUGCUUAUGUGAAGCUUGGGUAAGGUUGUGAAGAAAUAAUUGGAGCUUGAAAUUGUGAAUAUUGGAACUUGGAGGAAGCUGAUUAGUUGAAUUUUGAAGGGGCUGCCUUGGUUUUAAAUAAUUUGCUUUGGUCGUUACAUGGAAAUCGGCCAAGAUGCAAGUCGAGAGGCAUCUCGUUAGGCGUCUGGACUCUUGAAGCGGAGUGGUUACUGGGUUAUUUUGUUAUGCUAUGAUGUAUAUAUAUGUACUUAGCUUUCUCUCCACAUAACUUAUUCUUUUUGAUCCUCCUAGAGGUGUAUGGAGAGGCAGGAUUUUGUUUAUGUACAUUUGGGUUUUGGAUAUGUAUAUAUAUGUAUAUAUGUGUGUAUAUUCUCCGGCCAGUCUUGAC
This is a long non-coding RNA of Arachis duranensis, 420 nucleotides long. RefSeq lists it as uncharacterized. The record is from RefSeq and is a predicted model, not a curated record. NCBI's taxonomy places the organism in Eukaryota, Viridiplantae, Streptophyta, Magnoliopsida, Fabales, Fabaceae. The transcript has 3 exons.